UACUAGAGUAGCACUCGCAUAUCAAUAAGCGGAGGAAAAGAAACUAACAAGGAUUCCCCUAGUAACGGCGAGUGAAGCGGGAAGAGCUCAAAUUUGAAAUCUUAAAGGGUUUCCCUUUACGAAUUGUAGUUUAAAGAAGUGUUUUCUGUUGGAGUUUCGGUAAAAGUUCUUUGGAAUAGGACAUCAUAGAGGGUGAGAAUCCCGUAUUUGACCAUUACUUUCCUAGCUGUGUGAUACACUUUCAAAGAGUCGGAUUGUUUGGGAAUGCAGUCCAAAAUGGGUGGUAAAUUUCAUCUAAAGCUAAAUAUUGGCGAGAGACCGAUAGCGAACAAGUACCGUGAGGGAAAGAUGAAAAGAACUUUGAAAAGAGAGUUAAACAGUACGUGAGAUUGUCAAAAGGGAAGCGUUUGACACCAGUGUUGUUUAGUUGAAAAUCAAUUCAAUAAUUUUUGAUUUUAAGUAGUAUUGACUUCAUCAGCUUGCUGCUUUCUUUUCAGGAAUUAUUGAAUGCACUUUUCAGUUAACAAGUCAACAUCAAUUUCUUUUGUUGUAAAAGGGUAAGAGGAAGGUGGCUUACGCUUCGGCGUAAGUGUUUAUAGCCUUUUACCUCUGCAAUCGGAGAGAUUGAGGACAGCAGCGUAGACUCUUCGGGGUUAGAUACACUUGUGCUAAGCUAUAGCCUUGUAUAGACAACUUGUUGACUAUGCUCAGUCAUGUAGCUUACUCGCUUGUGCUAUUUUACCUACGCUUAGGAUGUUGAAGAUAUGCGCGACACG
Molecule: ribosomal RNA, 776 nt
Filed under: uncultured Neocallimastigales
Lineage: Eukaryota; Fungi; Neocallimastigomycota; Neocallimastigomycetes; Neocallimastigales
Description: partial large subunit ribosomal RNA
Rfam family: Eukaryotic large subunit ribosomal RNA
Source: RNAcentral